UUGUUGUUAGUCAAUGAUGAGAUGGGUGAACAAAUUUGGAAUAGGAUUUGGUACAUACUUCAUAUUAACAUACUUGUCAAAAAAUUUCAAGUUAUAUUAUAAAUUAAUUAUAUCAUCGGGAAAAGGUGGAGAGUCAACAUCGUGGUUUUAAAUUUUAUAGGAGUUUUCUCAUUUUCAAUUUUGUUUGCUUAUUUAUAUUAUAUUUUGUUCAUUUAAAUUUCCUUUUGCUCAUUUUUCUUUUGUUUUGCUCAUUUUUUUGUCAGGGAAACAAAAUGUGAAUAUCAAUUCUGAUAUUCUCACAUUUCUUUCUGAUGUUGAUAAAAUAAAGGACUUGAGUUGGUGCAAGUAUAUCCUUGAUUCACUUGUGAAGGCCAAGCUUUUCUGGGAAGAACGUCAAACUCGUUCUUUUCCUGGGUCUUUACUGUUUCUUAUGCUUUUAUACGUUGAUCAGUUUGUCAUUGAGGAAGUUAGAGCCAAACGAGAAACUCCAGUUCUCAACGGUUGGACAACCAAUAUGUUUUCAAGUCGUGAGAAAUUGGAAAUUUUUAAGGGGAGGCUUGUAGUUUUUGAUAAAAAUCAGAAGCUUGUUGGUCCUUCUGGCAACAAACAACCAAAAAUGGAACAAUCUGAUCCAAUUCAUACAAAAAAUGAAGAAAUUGAACAAGAUCCGAAGAAGGUAUUUAUAUGAUUUUUCUGGAAACUUAUAUUAAUUUGCUCAUUUUUAUAUGACUUUGCUCAUUUUUU
Long non-coding RNA from Chenopodium quinoa (quinoa), 744 nucleotides. RefSeq lists it as uncharacterized. The record is from RefSeq and is a predicted model, not a curated record. The transcript has 3 exons. Lineage: Eukaryota; Viridiplantae; Streptophyta; Magnoliopsida; Caryophyllales; Amaranthaceae.